GAUGAAGAACGUAGCGAAAUGCGAUAAGUCGUGUGAAUUGCAGAAUUCAGUGAAUCAUCGAAUCUUUGAACGCACAUUGCGCCCCUUGGUAUCCCGAGGGGCAUGCCUGUUCGAGCGUCAUUUCACCACUCAAGCCUGGCUUGGUGUUGGGCGACGUCCCCUUUGGGGACGCGCCUCGAAACGCUCGGCGGCGUGGCACCGGCUUUAAGCGUAGCAGAAUCUUUCGCUUUGGAAGUCGGGGCCCCGUCUGCCGGAAGACCUACUCGCAAGGUUGACCUCGGAUCAGGCAGGGAUACCCGCUGAACUUAAGCAUAUCAAUAAGCGGAGGA
RNAcentral lists this unclassified non-coding RNA (329 nucleotides) under soil metagenome. RNAcentral describes it as "partial contains 5.8S ribosomal RNA, internal transcribed spacer 2, and large subunit ribosomal RNA". The stretch from base 1 to 120 matches the Rfam family "5.8S ribosomal RNA", at positions 35 to 154 of the family's 154-position model. The record is from RNAcentral.